Non-coding RNA from Danio rerio (zebrafish), 1020 nucleotides. The record is from RefSeq and is a predicted model, not a curated record. Lineage: Eukaryota; Metazoa; Chordata; Actinopteri; Cypriniformes; Danionidae.
UUAACGUCAACCCCUACCCUAAACCUAACCCUCACUGUAAUGUAAAAAUAUUCAUUAUUGUUAUGCAUUGUCUCAAAAAAGAUGCUGUAUUGAUAUGUCCGCAGCUGUAUCCCUUCUAGAUUUUACCCCCCACCCCAUGUUGCACAUUUUAUAUGUUUCUCUUUUCACACCAUGAUUUAUAUAUGUUUGAUUUAAAUGGCCUUUUAGUGCGUGAUAUGUGAAUGUAAACGUCGCGUCACACCACAUCUGUGACAAUAUGACAUUCUGACAUAUCAACUUCUAGAUGGGUAAGUGAAACUUCAUUUACUACAUUUAUUUUUGUUGAUAAUAGCUGAAUUUUGUAAGUUACUCAAUGAAAAGAAACUUUGCUAUGUCGAAGGAGUAGUUCAUCCAAAAAUGAUUUACUCAUCUCAAAUGGUUCAAAACCUGUAAAUAUUAGUUUCUUUCUCGUGUCGAACGCUGAUGAAGGUAUUCUGAAGACAUCUGAUAACCUGUUGACUUUCAUAGUAGGAGAAACAAAUACUGUGAAAGUUACAUGGCUACAGGUUUCCAGCUUUGAUCAAAAAAUGUUUGUGUUUACGGACAAAAAAAAGGCAAAGAGGUUAAGAACAAGUGGAGGUAUCUCAGUGGAGGAACAAUCGCCUUUCACUAUCAUAUGACGGAGAACAGAGUGUCUAAAGCCAUCAAGCACACAUUUCCUGCAGUCUAGAGGAGUGUAUCUAGUCCAUAUUGGAGAGUAUGGACAGUCAAGUGAUGGGGUCUUUGCUGGCUCACCCAUAGCACAGGCAUCGGAUGCAAAAAAGUUGGAGGUUCCAGAUGAUCAGCAGAUACAGUUUCAGGAGCAGAGAAUCUGGGGAACGCAGCUCAUGCGGCUUUACCCUGGUCGGGAUCGGGUCAACACAACCAUGCAGCAAGUGUGGUGGAAAAUAGCCUUGGCUGUUUAUCAUCUCACUGGAGGAUCCUGCAGAUUAGGAUCAACAUACAUUGUGACUAAAUAAAGAUUUUUUUUUUUUAUGUACA